UACAGAGGCCUCAAGCGUUGUUCGGAAUUACUGGGCGUAAAGGGCGCGUAGGCGGCCUUCUAAGUCGAACGUGAAAUCCCCGGGCUCAACCCGGGAACUGCGUCCGAUACUGGAAGGCUUGAAUCCGGGAGAGGGAUGCGGAAUUCCAGGUGUAGCGGUGAAAUGCGUAGAUAUCUGGAGGAACACCGGUGGCGAAGGCGGCAUCCUGGACCGGCAUUGACGCUGAGGCGCGAAAGCCAGGGGAGCAAACAGG
RNAcentral lists this ribosomal RNA (253 nucleotides) under uncultured bacterium. RNAcentral describes it as "partial 16S ribosomal RNA". It matches the Rfam family "Bacterial small subunit ribosomal RNA", at positions 524 to 776 of the family's 1533-position model. The record is from RNAcentral.